UACGAAGGGGGCUAGCGUUGCUCGGAAUCACUGGGCGUAAAGGGUGCGUAGGCGGGUCUUUAAGUCAGACGUGAAAUCCCUCAGCUUAACUGGGGAACUGCGUCUGAUACUGGAUGGCUUGGAUUUGGGAGAGGGAUGCGGAAUUCCAGGUGUAGCGGUGAAAUGCGUAGAUAUCUGGAGGAACACCGGUGGCGAAGGCGGCAUCCUGGACCAAUAUUGACGCUGAGGAGCGAAAGCCAGGGGAGCAAACGGG
RNAcentral lists this ribosomal RNA (253 nucleotides) under uncultured bacterium. RNAcentral's name for it is "partial 16S ribosomal RNA". It matches the Rfam family "Bacterial small subunit ribosomal RNA", at positions 524 to 776 of the family's 1533-position model. The record is from RNAcentral.